UACGGUGAAUACGUUCCCGGACCUUGUACACACCGCCCGUCAAGCCAUGGAAGCUGGAUGUACCUAAAGUCGGUAACCGUAAGGAGCCGCCUAGGGUAAAACUAGUAACUGGGGCU
RNAcentral lists this ribosomal RNA (116 nucleotides) under uncultured bacterium. RNAcentral describes it as "partial 16S ribosomal RNA". It matches the Rfam family "Bacterial small subunit ribosomal RNA", at positions 1358 to 1482 of the family's 1533-position model. The record is from RNAcentral.